Molecule: ribosomal RNA, 1388 nt
Filed under: Lactiplantibacillus plantarum
Lineage: Bacteria; Bacillati; Bacillota; Bacilli; Lactobacillales; Lactobacillaceae
Description: bacterial SSU rRNA
Rfam family: Bacterial small subunit ribosomal RNA
Source: RNAcentral
UUGGUGCUUGCAUCAUGAUUUACAUUUGAGUGAGUGGCGAACUGGUGAGUAACACGUGGGAAACCUGCCCAGAAGCGGGGGAUAACACCUGGAAACAGAUGCUAAUACCGCAUAACAACUUGGACCGCAUGGUCCGAGUUUGAAAGAUGGCUUCGGCUAUCACUUUUGGAUGGUCCCGCGGCGUAUUAGCUAGAUGGUGGGGUAACGGCUCACCAUGGCAAUGAUACGUAGCCGACCUGAGAGGGUAAUCGGCCACAUUGGGACUGAGACACGGCCCAAACUCCUACGGGAGGCAGCAGUAGGGAAUCUUCCACAAUGGACGAAAGUCUGAUGGAGCAACGCCGCGUGAGUGAAGAAGGGUUUCGGCUCGUAAAACUCUGUUGUUAAAGAAGAACAUAUCUGAGAGUAACUGUUCAGGUAUUGACGGUAUUUAACCAGAAAGCCACGGCUAACUACGUGCCAGCAGCCGCGGUAAUACGUAGGUGGCAAGCGUUGUCCGGAUUUAUUGGGCGUAAAGCGAGCGCAGGCGGUUUUUUAAGUCUGAUGUGAAAGCCUUCGGCUCAACCGAAGAAGUGCAUCGGAAACUGGGAAACUUGAGUGCAGAAGAGGACAGUGGAACUCCAUGUGUAGCGGUGAAAUGCGUAGAUAUAUGGAAGAACACCAGUGGCGAAGGCGGCUGUCUGGUCUGUAACUGACGCUGAGGCUCGAAAGUAUGGGUAGCAAACAGGAUUAGAUACCCUGGUAGUCCAUACCGUAAACGAUGAAUGCUAAGUGUUGGAGGGUUUCCGCCCUUCAGUGCUGCAGCUAACGCAUUAAGCAUUCCGCCUGGGGAGUACGGCCGCAAGGCUGAAACUCAAAGGAAUUGACGGGGGCCCGCACAAGCGGUGGAGCAUGUGGUUUAAUUCGAAGCUACGCGAAGAACCUUACCAGGUCUUGACAUACUAUGCAAAUCUAAGAGAUUAGACGUUCCCUUCGGGGACAUGGAUACAGGUGGUGCAUGGUUGUCGUCAGCUCGUGUCGUGAGAUGUUGGGUUAAGUCCCGCAACGAGCGCAACCCUUAUUAUCAGUUGCCAGCAUUAAGUUGGGCACUCUGGUGAGACUGCCGGUGACAAACCGGAGGAAGGUGGGGAUGACGUCAAAUCAUCAUGCCCCUUAUGACCUGGGCUACACACGUGCUACAAUGGAUGGUACAACGAGUUGCGAACUCGCGAGAGUAAGCUAAUCUCUUAAAGCCAUUCUCAGUUCGGAUUGUAGGCUGCAACUCGCCUACAUGAAGUCGGAAUCGCUAGUAAUCGCGGAUCAGCAUGCCGCGGUGAAUACGUUCCCGGGCCUUGUACACACCGCCCGUCACACCAUGAGAGUUUGUAACACCCAAAGUCGGUGGGGUA